AACAGGAUUAGAUACCCUGGUAGUCCACGCCGUAAACGAUGUCUACUUGGAGGUUGUGGCCUUGAGCCGUGGCUUUCGGAGCUAACGCGUUAAGUAGACCGCCUGGGGAGUACGGUCGCAAGAUUAAAACUCAAAUGAAUUGACGGGGGCCCGCACAAGCGGUGGAGCAUGUGGUUUAAUUCGAUGCAACGCGAAGAACCUUACCUACUCUUGACAUCCAGAGAACUUUCCAGAGAUGGAUUGGUGCCUUCGGGAACUCUGAGACAGGUGCUGCAUGGCUGUCGUCAGCUCGUGUUGUGAAAUGUUGGGUUAAGUCCCGCAACGAGCGCAACCCUUAUCCUUGUUUGCCAGCGAGUAAUGUCGGGAACUCCAGGGAGACUGCCGGUGAUAAACCGGAGGAAGGUGGGGACGACGUCAAGUCAUCAUGGCCCUUACGAGUAGGGCUACACACGUGCUACAAUGGCGCAUACAGAGGGCGGCCAACUUGCGAAAGUGAGCGAAUCCCAAAAAGUGCGUCGUAGUCCGGAUUGGAGUCUGCAACUCGACUCCAUGAAGUCGGAAUCGCUAGUAAUCGUGGAUCAGAAUGCCACGGUGAAUACGUUCCCGGGCCUUGUACACACCGCCCGUCACACCAUGGGAGUGGGCUGCAAAAGAAGUAGGUAGUUUAACCUUCGGGGGGACGCUUACCACUUUGUGGUUCAUGACUGGGGUGAAGUCGUAACAAGGUAGCGCUAGGGGAACCUGGCGCUGGAUCACCUCCUUAAACGAUGAU
Molecule: ribosomal RNA, 772 nt
Filed under: Vibrio parahaemolyticus
Lineage: Bacteria; Pseudomonadati; Pseudomonadota; Gammaproteobacteria; Vibrionales; Vibrionaceae
Description: bacterial SSU rRNA
Rfam family: Bacterial small subunit ribosomal RNA
Source: RNAcentral